UACGUAGGCAGCGAGCGUUGUUCGGAGUUACUGGGCGUAAAGGGUGUGUAGGCGGUUGGUUAAGUUUGGUGUGAAAUCUCCCGGCUCAACUGGGAGGGUGCGCCGAAUACUGAAUGACUUGGAGUGCGGGAGAGGUGAGUGGAAUUCCUGGUGUAGCGGUGAAAUGCGUAGAUAUCAGGAGGAACACCGGUGGUGUAGACGGCUCACUGGACCGUAACUGACGCUGAGACACGAAAGCGUGGGUAGCAAACAGG
This 254-nucleotide ribosomal RNA is filed under the name uncultured bacterium. Its description in RNAcentral is "partial 16S ribosomal RNA". It matches the Rfam family "Bacterial small subunit ribosomal RNA", at positions 524 to 776 of the family's 1533-position model. The record is from RNAcentral.